Jatropha curcas is the source of this 399-nucleotide non-coding RNA. NCBI's taxonomy places the organism in Eukaryota, Viridiplantae, Streptophyta, Magnoliopsida, Malpighiales, Euphorbiaceae. The record is from RefSeq and is a predicted model, not a curated record.
AAAUAAUUAUAUUAGAAGAUAUUUUGAUUUAAUUUUUUUGAAUAAAGAGGUCAAAGAUUCAAUACGAAAUUUGAUCCAAUCUCCGAGCCUCUAAAUGCUUUGGGUGAUGAGAAGAACCUUAUCAUUUCAAUUUUGGAGACAAAGUUGAAGAUCCUGCAUUAUAUCUUUUGCAUUAAUCUCAUGCCAAUAAUGAAUUUGGAUCUAUCUAUUGGUGUUCUGACUAGUGCAAUCACCAGUGAAGAAGUGCAAAUUAGGUUUUGAGUUUGGCAAAUUUGAAGCCCGCUCAGUUCAUUCACAUCCCCCCUAUCUUCUACCCAGUAGAGUUGAUUGUAAUCUCCUCGUGUUUACCUAAUUGUGAAUGAGGCAUCAAGAAAUCAGACCAAGCUCUAAAGUCGAAAG